RNAcentral lists this ribosomal RNA (389 nucleotides) under uncultured bacterium. RNAcentral's name for it is "bacterial SSU rRNA". It matches the Rfam family "Bacterial small subunit ribosomal RNA", at positions 30 to 423 of the family's 1533-position model. The record is from RNAcentral.
AUUGAACGCUGGCGGCAUGCCUUACACAUGCAAGUCGAACGGCAGCGGGCCUUCGGUGCCGGCGAGUGGCGAACGGUGAGUAAUGCAUCGGAACGUGCCAUUGAGUGGGGGAUAACGUAGCGAAAGUUACGCUAAUACCGCAUAUUCUGUGAGCAGGAAAGCAGGGGACCGCAAGGCCUUGCGCUCUUUGAGCGGCCGAUGUCAGAUUAGCUAGUUGGUGAGGUAAAGGCUUACCAAGGCGACGAUCUGUAGCGGGUCUGAGAGGAUGAUCCGCCACACUGGAACUGAGACACGGUCCAGACUCCUACGGGAGGCAGCAGUGGGGAAUUUUGGACAAUGGGCGCAAGCCUGAUCCAGCCAUGCCGCGUGAGUGAAGAAGGCCUUCGGUU